CCUCGAAGCAGCUGGUCAUGUCCACGCCCUCUGCAGGCCUCGUGUCCCCCUCGCUGUCGCCUGCCGAUUUGGUGGCUCCUCUCAUAACACACAGCCUCCUGUGUAUGUUUUUACCCUACAAACGCUCUCUAACCGGUCCAGAGGUCAGAAACAGCCGCAGUCUCCUACCUCUAUUGCUUCUCAAGGGAAAAGCACAGCCUGGAAUGAUGAGGAGCCCCCACGCCUUCUCAGUCUCCUGUAACGACGUUGCUACAGAUCAGGCUUAAAGAAGAAACCCAAACGCUCUGUGAAUGGGACAUGUGCUCAGAGGCGUCUGCAGUUGAGGCGGGUGACGUUCUGGGGUCCCUGGGAAGUUGUCAUCACCCUGCUGACAUGAGUGUGGAUGUUGAGGCCUGGAGGGUGACAGGUCACACAGCCAGAGCCUGGCAGCAGCGCAGGGGCGGAACCCCGGGUCCCCUGUGGGCCUGUGCCCUCUCGGCCAGCCUUGCAACGCGCAGCUAACGCUCUUCAAGAAAACAUUCUCUGGAGGAAUCCUGCUGGUCCUGAAGUUUUUGGCCUUGAGAAGGUCAUCACAGACACCCCUCCCCUCGGGCCAGGCCUGCUGUCUUGUCUAAGGGGCCCUAUUUUAUCUGAGGUGAUUUGCAACUCUGAAACACACAUACAUAAAAUAGAAAUACCGUCCUCACUAUUAACCUAGAGACCCCCAUCCCUACCCCUCCCUAUGAAUGCUUUUUCAUAAACAUGCCGCAUUCUGAGGAAUCCGAAAGACUCCAGCGUAGGACAGACCGCUGUUCCAAGCCACUGGGAAAGGGGAAACUGGUGACUGAGCGGCGCCCGUCAGAGCCAUUAAAACGUGAGGGAAAACUGCACCUUACGGCACACGAACCCUUAGAAGAGGCAAAACACUACUGAGUUAAUGCUUAAUUUAUUUGUAAUGAUAAAAGUUUUUAUCACUUUAAAUAAAGUUAUUUGAAAAAAGUUAUUCAAUGGCAGCCUAAUAAUUUUGCUUAAUGAAAAAUUAACUCUGCAAAUACAGUUUCCACUAUUCACAUGGAGCCUGCAGGUUUGGAGAAUCCUCUGCAUCAGUGUGGGUGAGCACGUGUGUGAGGGGUGCACGUGUGUGAGGGGUGCACGUGUGUGAAGGGUGCACGUGUGUGAGGGGUGCAUGUGUGUGAAGAGAGCACGUGUGUGAGGGGUGCAUCAGUGUGGGUGUGCACGUGUGUGAGGGGUGCACAUGUAUGAGGGGUGCACGUGUGUGAGGGGUGCACGUGUGUGAGGGGUGAGCACGUGUGUGAGGGGAGCACGUGUGUGAGGGGUGCACGUGUGUGAGGGGAGCACGUGUGUGAGGGAUGCACAUGUGUGAGGGGUGCACGUGUGUGAGGGGUGCACGUGUGAGAGGGGUGCACGUGUGUGAGGGGUGCAUGUGUGUGGGGGUGCACGUGUGUGAGGGAUGCAUGUGUGUGAGGAGAGCACGUGUGUGAGGGAUGCAUGUGUGUGAGGAGAGCACGUGUGUGAGGGGUGCACGUGUGUGACAGAUGCAUGUGUGUGAGGAGAGCACGUGUGUGAGGGGUGCACGUGUGUGAGGGGUGCAUGUGUGUGAGGGGUGCACGUGUGUGAGGGAUGCACGUGUGUGAGGGGUGCAUGUGUGUGAGGAGAGCACGUGUGUGAGGGGUGCACGUGUGUGACAGAUGCAUGUGUGUGAGGAGAGCACGUGUGUGAGGGGUGCACGUGUGUGAGGGGAGCACGUGUGUGAGGGGAGCACGUCUGUG
This 1769-nucleotide long non-coding RNA is filed under the name Homo sapiens (human). RNAcentral describes it as "HSALNT0375439". Lineage: Eukaryota; Metazoa; Chordata; Mammalia; Primates; Hominidae. The record is from RNAcentral.